AACCCAUGGUGAGGGCAAUGAUUAGUGUAGCUCCUGAAUCUUUUCCAAGCCUCACCAAAUGUUUCAUUUUUAUGUUGAGUAAAGGAAGAGAUCUGAUUCCUGAGCUU
Eutrema salsugineum is the source of this 107-nucleotide small nucleolar RNA. It matches the Rfam family "Plant small nucleolar RNA R71". Rfam says of the family: R71 is a member of the C/D box family of snoRNAs containing the C (UGAUGA) and D (CUGA) box motifs. Multiple nearly identical copies of this snoRNA have been identified in Arabidopsis, and it is thought to function as a 2'-O-ribose methylation guide for 18S ribosomal RNA. Lineage: Eukaryota; Viridiplantae; Streptophyta; Magnoliopsida; Brassicales; Brassicaceae. The record is from Rfam.